RNAcentral lists this ribosomal RNA (844 nucleotides) under uncultured bacterium. Its description in RNAcentral is "bacterial SSU rRNA". It matches the Rfam family "Bacterial small subunit ribosomal RNA", at positions 28 to 862 of the family's 1533-position model. The record is from RNAcentral.
GAUGAACGCUAGCUACAGGCUUAACACAUGCAAGUCGAGGGGAAACGACAUCGAAAGCUUGCUUUUGAUGGGCGUCGACCGGCGCACGGGUGAGUAACGCGUAUCCAACCUGCCCACCACUUGGGGAUAACCUUGCGAAAGUAAGACUAAUACCCAAUGACGUCUCUAGAAGACAUCUGAAAGAGAUUAAAGAUUUAUCGGUGAUGGAUGGGGAUGCGUCUGAUUAGCUUGUUGGCGGGGUAACGGCCCACCAAGGCAACGAUCAGUAGGGGUUCUGAGAGGAAGGUCCCCCACAUUGGAACUGAGACACGGUCCAAACUCCUACGGGAGGCAGCAGUGAGGAAUAUUGGUCAAUGGACGAGAGUCUGAACCAGCCAAGUAGCGUGCAGGAAGACGGCCCUAUGGGUUGUAAACUGCUUUUAUAAGGGAAUAAAGUGAGUCUCGUGAGACUUUUUGCAUGUACCUUAUGAAUAAGGACCGGCUAAUUCCGUGCCAGCAGCCGCGGUAAUACGGAAGGUCCGGGCGUUAUCCGGAUUUAUUGGGUUUAAAGGGAGCGUAGGCCGGAGAUUAAGCGUGUUGUGAAAUGUAGAUGCUCAACAUCUGAACUGCAGCGCGAACUGGUUUCCUUGAGUACGCACAAAGUGGGCGGAAUUCGUGGUGUAGCGGUGAAAUGCUUAGAUAUCACGAAGAACUCCGAUUGCGAAGGCAGCUCACUGGAGCGCAACUGACGCUGAAGCUCGAAAGUGCGGGUAUCGAACAGGAUUAGAUACCCUGGUAGUCCGCACGGUAAACGAUAAAUGCCCGCUGUUGGUCUGAAUAGGUCAGCGGCCAAGCGAAAGCAUAA